GACGUAGGGCGCGAGCGUUGUCCGGAUUUAUUGGGCGUAAAGAGCUCGUAGGCGGCUUGUCGCGUCGACUGUGAAAACCCGUGGCUCAACCAUGUGGUCUGCAGUCGAUACGGGCAGGCUAGAAUUCGGUAGGGGAGACUGGAAUUCCUGGUGUAGCGGUGAAAUGCGCAGAUAUCAGGAGGAACACCGGUGGCGAUGGCGGGUCUCUGGGCCGAUAUUGACGCUGAGGAGCGAAAGCGUGGGGAGCGAACAGG
RNAcentral lists this ribosomal RNA (254 nucleotides) under uncultured bacterium. RNAcentral describes it as "partial 16S ribosomal RNA". It matches the Rfam family "Bacterial small subunit ribosomal RNA", at positions 524 to 776 of the family's 1533-position model. The record is from RNAcentral.